Molecule: non-coding RNA, 44 nt
Filed under: Methylotenera versatilis 301
Lineage: Bacteria; Pseudomonadati; Pseudomonadota; Betaproteobacteria; Nitrosomonadales; Methylophilaceae
Also listed under: 1 other name
Description: Guanidine-II riboswitch aptamer (mini-ykkC)
Rfam family: Guanidine-II riboswitch aptamer (mini-ykkC)
About the family: Simpler in structure and has fewer highly conserved nucleotide positions than the ykkC-yxkD leader.
Source: Rfam by way of RNAcentral
GUGCUUGGACGACCAAGCAUCUGAUUUUCUCAUGGGACGACCCA